UCUUGGUAAGUAACUCCGGUGUAGAUUUGGCCUUGUGUUUUAGGUUAUUGUCCUGAUGAAAGGUGAAUUAAUCUCCCAGUGUCUGGUGGAAAGCAGAUUGAACCAGGAUUUCCUCUAGGAUUUUGCCUGUGUUUACCUUCAUUUGUAACGAAUGUCAUCGGGAGAAGGAGAAGAGGACCAAGGUGCAGCGUGGUAGAAGGAGAAGGAGAAGAGGACCAAGGUGCAGCGUGGUAGAAGGAUAAGGAGAAGAGGACCAAGGUGCAGCGUGGUAGAAGGAGAAGGAGAAGAGGACCAAGGUGCAGCGUGGUAGAAGGAGAAGGAGAAGAGGACCAAGGUGCAGCGUGGUAGAAGGAUAAGGAGAAGAGGACCAAGGUACAGCGUGGUAGAAGGAGAAGGAGAAGAGGACCAAGGUACAGCGUGGUAGAAGGAGAAGGAGAAGAGGACCAAGGUGCAGCGUGGUAGAAGGAGAAGGAGAAGAGGACCAAGGUGCAGCGUGGUAGAAGGAUAAGGAGAAGAGGACCAAGGUGCAGCGUGGUAGAAGGAGAAGGAGAAGAGGACCAAGGUGCAGCGUGGUAGAAGGAUAAGGAGAAGAGGACCAAGGUGCAGCGUGGUAGAAGGAGAAGGAGAAGAGGACCAAGGUGCAGCGUGGUAGAAGGAGAAGGAGAAGAGGACCAAGGUGCAGCGUGGUAGAAGGAGAAGGAGAAGAGGACCAAGGUGCAGCGUGGUAGAAGGAGAAGGAGAAGAGGACCAAGGUGCAGCGUGGUAGAAGGAGAAGGAGAAGAGGACCAAGGUGCAGCGUGGUAGAAGGAGAAGGAGAAGAGGACCAAGGUGCAGCGUGGUAGAAGGAGAAGGAGAAGAGGACCAAGGUGCAGCGUGGUAGAAGGAGAAGGAGAAGAGGACCAAGGUGCAGCGUGGUAGAAGGAGAAGGAGAAGAGGACCAGGGUGCAGCGUGGUAGAAGGAGAAGGAGAAGAGGACCAAGGUGCAGAGUGGUAGAAGGAGAAGGAGAAGAGGACCAAGGUGCAGCGUGGUAAGUAUUCAUAAUCCGUUUAAUAAAUACGAACACUUGACCCAAACAACAAACGAACAGUUCUGCAAGGUGCAAUACACAAAACAGAAAACAACUACCCACAAAACACAGGUGGGAUCAAUCAGAGACAACAAUUGACGGCUGCCUCUGAUUGGGAACCAUACCAACCAUACCAUACAAACACAUAGAAAUACAACACACAGAACAAAACAUAGAAUGAAAUACAUAAAAUGCCCACCCCAACUCACGCCCUGACCAAACCAAACUAGAGACAUAAAAAAGGAACUACGGUCAGGACGUGACAUCAUUCCAUAAUUGUUUAAUCCUGAAACUCCCCAUGCCUUAACGAUUACAAGCUUACCCAUAAUGAUGCCGACACCACUAUGCUUGAAAAUAUGGAGAGUGGUACUCAGUUGAAUUUGCCCCAAACAACACUUUGUAUUCAGGACAAAAAAGUUAAUCGCUUUGCCACAUAUUUGGCAGUAUUAGUGCCUUGUUGCAAACAGGAUGCAUGUUUUGGAAUAAUUUAUUCUGUACAGGCUUCCUUCUUUUCACUCUGUCAAUUCGUUCCAGUAUUGUGGAGUAUCUACAAUGUUGUUGAUCCAUCCUCAGUUUUCUCCUAUUACAGCCAUUAAACUCUUACUGUUUUAAAUCAAUCAAUCAAACUGAUUUAUAAAGCCUUUUUUUACAUCAGCAGAUGUCAGUAUUUAUUCAGAAACCCAGCCGAAAACCCCAAACAGCAAGCACUGCAGAUGUAGAAGCACGGUGGCUAGGAAGAACUCUCAAGAAAGUCAUGAACCUAGGAAGAAACCUAGAGAGGAACCAUGU
Molecule: long non-coding RNA, 1856 nt
Organism: Oncorhynchus keta (chum salmon)
Lineage: Eukaryota; Metazoa; Chordata; Actinopteri; Salmoniformes; Salmonidae
Exons: 4
Source: RefSeq, a predicted model, not a curated record